CUACGGGGGGCUGCAGUGAGGAAUAUUGCACAAUGGGGGGAACCCUGAUGCGGCAACGCCGCGUGGAGGAUGACGCAUUUCGGUGUGUAAACUCCUUUUAUAUGUCAAGAAAAUGACGGUAGCAUAUGAAUAAGCACCGGCUAACUCCGUGCCAGCAGCCGCGGUAAUACGGAGGGUGCAAGCGUUACUCGGAAUCACUGGGCGUAAAGGACGCGUAGGCGGGUUGGAAAGUCAGGUGUGAAAUCCUACAGCUUAACUGUAGAACUGCACUUGAAACUUCUAAUCUAGAGUAUGGGAGGGGGAGAUGGAAUUAGUGGUGUAGGGGUAAAAUCCGUAGAUAUCACUAGGAAUACCUAAAGCGAAGGCGAUCUCCUGGGACAUUACUGACGCUAAGGCGUGAAAGCGUGGGGAGCAAACAGGAUUAGAUACCCGUGUAGUC
RNAcentral lists this ribosomal RNA (439 nucleotides) under uncultured bacterium. Its description in RNAcentral is "partial 16S ribosomal RNA". It matches the Rfam family "Bacterial small subunit ribosomal RNA", at positions 339 to 795 of the family's 1533-position model. The record is from RNAcentral.